AAGUUAAUUUACUAUCACAACCAUAAUUACUCUUCCACUCUUUCAUGAGGUAGGAGAGAAUAUGUAUUUUACUGGCAAGGAUGGUGGUCAUUAAAUUCAUUUUGAUAUUUUCAUAUAAUUAAUAAUUUCAUUUAAAACAUUUAAAACAAUGUUCAUAUUCUAUUUCAAAGCAAAUGAAUGUGGAAAAACACUUUGGAGAACUGCCUACAUACAAAAAUUGAGGAGGACUCAGCACAGACAAAACCAGCAGAUGCUUAUAUCGGUUUUGGAUAUAUUAAUUAAAAUUGUGAUGACUUAUACAGUGUAAGGUGCUUGUCAUUUUAACAUGAUACACAAUAAUAGAAGAUAAUGAAUUAAGCUGCCAGUGGACCUUUCCCCUAGGAUGAUGAUAUUGUGCUUGCUAAUUAGUUAUAAUAUGCAUAUAGUAGUACUCCAAAGUACUGCAUUUACUUUAUCUAACUUAGUUUCAAAAACACUAGUACAUCAAGACUGGAUUAUGUGCCCUGUAGUUAAUCAUAUACAGAUUAAUUUAUAGUAGAUAUAUUUAUGUUAUAAAAUGCAUGAUGAUAAAAUAGUUAGGUUUCAUGCAGAGAGCUGUUUUAACCAGUAGCAUUAAUUUUCUACUCUAUUAAUGAUGACAGUCGGGUUCUUCAAAUUAUUAAUAUGCUGAUGUUAAAAUAACAUACAGAACGUAACUGAGCUAGAGUACAAUAGAAUACAUUUCUUUCCUUAAGCAUUGCAAUGCACUGUGUUUCUUAAAUAAAGAAGAUAUGAUAUGCAAUCAUUGCUGAAUAUGAAUAUCCAUAAGCUUCAUCAGAAGACAGACCACCACUGAAUUUUUUUGCAAAUAUUUAGGCAACAUCACUUAGGGCUGUGCUAAUUCAGUCUGUUUCUCCAGGGGCUUUUAGCUCAGUUAAGUUCAUUUUCCCUUUUUAUAUUCCUAUAUAAGCCUCUGCUGUACUACAUUAAAUUCUCCCCCAUCAGUAAGACUGGUUAUGUUUACUUUGGAUCCCAUCAGUGUAACUACUCCAAUAGGCUGUAGUUGUUUGGGAUGGACUGAUGUAUUGCUUUUUUCAUUGAAUUGAGACUCUGAAUAAUUUCUCUCCUGAUGGACAAUCUUGAAAUCAAAUGUGGAAUUUCAUAUUAAUUUAUAUGGAGAAAUAGGUUCACUAGUAUGGGACUUGUAUGCAGGACUGGCAGCCUUGCAGACCCCAGCCAAAUAGAUUUUGUUCUCUUUAUGAGAGCAGCAUGUACAGAAUACAAAAGAAAUGUUUUUUCUUAUGAAUGUGACAAAGUUAGCAUGUGGGAAAUGGAAUGGUUUUGGCAUGCAGGGAAUCAGGUUGGGUGUUCUCUUCAUGAUGGUUUUACUGGAAUUGGAAUUUUAGACUUAAAAACACAGUGUGAUGAUGGAUGGGUUCAUGACAAUAUAGAAAGGAAAUGUGAAUUGGGACCAGGUUAUUCACAGGUGUGGCCACAGUUAGUCAAAAGGAAGGUUCAAAGUUCAGUGUAUCUUUGGAUACACCUGAAUUGGACUCUUUUUAAAGGUUGAAUUAAGAUCUGGUUUAGUUAGUUUAAUUGAGAACACCUAGUUCAGCCCCAAAAAACAACUAGUAUAACAUCUUCAUAAGAUGUUGAGACACUUCUAACAUCCACCACAACCUUGUUUUCUUUUCCCCUAGGCUGGAGUGAGGUGCCAUACAAGCCUGGAUAUGAGAAAACAAGUACUACGCUGAACAGCAGAAUGAUAAUGGAUUGACCACGUGUGUAUCUACCUUUAAUCAAAUUCCAUGUAUGUAAGAACUUGUAGAUUUGGCUCCCAUAUACCAAUAUCACUUUUAUUUUUUUGCCAACUACACCUAUGACUGCAAUCACAAGCCUAAUGGAAAAAAAUAUACAUACGUACACACAUAUAUAUGCCUGUGUGUAUAUAUAUACAUAUAUAGAAAAUAAAAAUGAGUAAUUCCUGAGAAUAUAGGAAGUAAUUGCUUUGUCUUACCUAUGUAUUAGCUUCUUAUACCCAUGACUAGUAUAUGUAUUUUUAUUCAUUUCAUAGGAUGAACAAAAUAUUGUGUUUCCUUAUCUACUUCUUUGCCAGUUCCUUUCUCCUGUCCUUCUGAGACACUCCUUCCUCUAACACUCUUGUAACUUUGUACAACAUUGAUACUUCUGCAGGGGUGAUUCUUCUUUGUGAUACAGUCAUCUGCAGCCUGCAGUAUGAAAGUAAAGCUACUUCCUGAAAACAUUUUCAGCAGCAAAGCGAUAAAUCAUUGAACUUGCAAGUUGGUCCCCUAGACAAGCAGAUUCUCUGAAGGCCUCAGCAAAUACAACUAUGUCAAGAUACUAAAAACCUUCUCUGCAAGUGGGUAAGUCUAACAAAGAUGACAUUACCACAGAAAAUUCCCCAGGCAAAGCCCCUACAUGAUGCAUCAACACUUUUCAAUAAGGUACAGUUGAAAGAGCUACAAAAGGUUCAAGUCACAAAUUUAUUAAUUAAAAUUAAGUUAAUGAUUUGCUUUAAAACACAACACUGUUGAGAUCCUGGUUAUCCCUCGUGCUCUUCUCUGCUGCUACUCUUAGAAUACAAAUCUAGGUGGAAAGAUAUAUUUGUGUGAUAACUGCCCAUCAAUCGGUAGUUCAAACAAUCUCAAAAAAUCCCAGAUGCUGGCACAUUUUUAGCCUGCCUUUUUAAUCAGAAAGAUUUUGACCAAACUCAACAGAGAGAAAAUUUGGCAGUGAGUGCUGUAGGUAUGAACAAAAUAAGCAGCUUGUCUGGGCAACUGAACCUACAAUUCAUGUGUUGUUUGUUGACUGCUGCCUGAAAAUGCAUGAACAGUGAUAAUCUGUACAGAGCUUUAGUAUGUACCCUGCGUGUGCUGGAUCUUGGAAGUUGGCCGUGUAUUGUUGGUGCAGAAGAUACAAAAGGAAAGUGCUCAAGCUGGAGGAAUUAAAUUUCUAUAAUUAGAAAUUGUCUGUUAAAAUUACAUGCCACAUGGCAAGCCUAUGGAACUUGGCGUGUGGAGAGCAUAUUGGCAAUGAUUUACAAUUAACUACCAUGUUGCAAAUCACUCCUUAGCUGUUUUCUAUUAUGAAAUUUGGAGAGUUGUAAAAUGCACUUGUGCUACUUUAUUUCCUUUUGAAAUGGUAAUUACUACUGCUGAGGGGCAGUACUUAGUGCAGAAAAUGAAGUGCACAGCAUAGGGAGGAACUUGUUUCUGAGGAAUUGCUGAGGAAUUGUAAUGAUAUGAAAAAAGAGCUUUCCUGAAACACAUACACACAAAAGAGCUUCAUUUAUGAAACUCCAACCAAAUAAAUAACAAAAUAAAGUAAAACAGUCUUUUUGUGCAAGGGACAGUAUUCACUUCUUUGUUGCUGACUGCACUUUUUUCCCAUCAAAGUGGGAACAGUGGAUUGACACAGGGAAAAACUCAUAAGCCAAUUGCUUGAGGGAAAUGCAGAUGUAUGGUAAUGUGAUAAGAAUGCCCUAGAGUAACAGGUUUGAGCCAAUGUGUUCGAAAAUUAUGAGUGUGCUUCUAACUACUAGCCCAUUUUAGAUACCUAGGAUAGAACAGAAAAUGGUGUGGCCAUGGAGAGCUACAUGAAGUUUGACUUUUAUAUCAGAGGAGCAGAGGCUGUGCACUCUGAGUGGAGAGAGCAGGUAUGUUCUAAUUAAGUGGUAGUAAGCUCCCCUGUACAGCUUCCCCCUCGAUUGUGAUUGUAAAAAGGACUGUGUUUAUGAGUAGCUUUUAUGGAAGGAUGUAUUAAGGAAAGCAAGGAGUAAGGCUUCUGAGGUCUUAAAUUUGGUAACUUGUGACAAUAAUCAUGAUCUCUCAGGUAAUAAAGUAGGCUAUCUAGCUCUAGUCCUCAGUUUAAAGUUAAUACCUUUGAAAGCAAGGUGAUUGACUGUAAUUUUGCUCAUAGUGCUUUGCUGGUAGCAGUAAAUAAAAACAUAUAUAGCACUUUUCAUCAGAAGUGUCAGAGUGCUUUCCACACCUUAAUCAAUUAAUUUUUAUGAGAUGGUGGCACAAUUAUUUCCCUUUCCCUACUGGAGGAACUGAAAGGAUCAGGGCAGCCACCAGCAAGUAUGCAGCAUUUAGUGCAGCGGCAAAUAUUGAUAAUGCCUUGGUCUAGAACUGUGGCUUUCCAGAAUUAUAGUUACAUAGCUGAGACAAACAGUCAUAAUUCCCCUUUCAGAAAUAUAUUUGAACCAGGCUUUGUCUUAGAAAGACAACAGACCAAGUUGAUGUUGCUAGGGUGGUCCAUCCUGAUACUCAGGAAAAGGAGCGGCUGUACUGGAUCAGGCUAAACAAGUAACUCAUGAUUGAGCUGCAGUACAAAAAGGUAAAAGCAGGAAAUGGCUCAGAACAAGAAACUGUCCAGGUACGCAGGGAUGAUGUUAAAAUAGCCAGUGUUCAGCUAGAGUUGAGACUUGCAAGGGAUGUCAAGUAACUAGUUACAGGAUGAGCAAGAAAAAUGUGGGACUGCUGCUGGACUUGGCUGGUGACUUAGUGCCAGCAAACGCAGCCCAGUCUGAGGUACUCAGCGCCUUCUUUGCUAACAGGGUCUCCCAGACCGCGGUGCUUUGCAGCACAGCUGCAAAGAGGAGAGGAACCAGCAGCAGGCAUAUGCUGGAAAAACUUUCAGUCAAUAUGGAAGGGGACUGUCUGUAGUGUUCUGGUAAUACGUCUCCCUGCUCUCCAAGCAGCCUAAGUGUGAAGCAGCAGGUGAUGGGCGCUCUGUGAGUGCUUGCACCAACUUCAAAUGGCAAAUGUUGACAUAGAAAAGCCAAACCGGGUUAAAAAAGGGAUGUGUUAAACCUACUUGACAAAGCUAGGGCAAAAAUGGACACAACCAGUUCAGUUUAGCCAGGUUUUAAUUUAGUUGGAAAUAUACAAGAUCCAAAACCAGCUGAUGAUUUGUAAGCAGUGCAUUUAAUUAGCAUCCUGUUGUCCAACAGUGAUGAAAUGCUCUGCUUUGCCAUGAGAACAUGUACAGCUGUUUUUUCCUGCAAGUAAAGAUAAAAGUGGCUAAUCCAGCUAACAACUAUUAACAGUGGAAAAAUGGGGACAGUGGCUAGAACUUGAAGGUAUAUAUCUCUACCUAUAUAUCUCUACCAUUUCAAGUGGCACCUAGACAAUUGGUAUCUUAAAAACCUAGCUAAUUACAUAACAAAUGAGACAUUAAUUUAACAGUUUUCUCAGGGAGAGAAAGCUGUCUAUCUACUCAUGGCUUUAAAAACAAGCACCUUGUGUGGUAAAUAAAAUUGUUGCCGGUACAAUCAUCGUUGUUUUGCAUGAAAUGGAAAUGGAAUCAGUAAUUUUCUCAGUAGCACUGAUAUCCACCAAGAGUGAUGCAACUCAUUUUUUUCUCAUAUAAUUAGAGGACAACUUCAUCUCAUAUAGGUUAGGGACUUCCCACAGAAGUGCAGGAGUCUGUUCUGUAGUAGAUAGAAUUUGAAUUUUCCCACUUUUCUUGGACAAGUGGAUAAUUUUUCCCUUCUACUGUACACCUUUUAAUCACAAAUGCAAACAAUUAUUUCUCCUCAUUUUCUGAUUCUUAUAAACUCUUCUUAGCAUUAAAAAAUGGCUAGACUUAGAAUUGUGACUAAAGCUGUAAGCAGAUUCUGGAGCAUGCAGACACAAAUGAUGCAUGUGUAUAGUUAGGAAAAGGAACUCUUUCCCAUGUGUAUAAAUCAAGAGAGUUCAAUUUGUAGCUGCUUAAAUACCAGUGGACCAUCAUUUGUUUUCACUUUGAAUCAGGAACAUAACAUACAGAUGCACUUUGCUUUUCUUUGAUACUGUGAUUUUUUUUCUGUUAAGGCCAGAAUAAGAAUUCUGGGAAUAAGGUUCUUUAUGUCCUUUGUGCUUUGGGAAGUAUGGCUUUUGGAAAAUAGAGAAGAAUCUGCAGGUUCAAGAGCACUAUGGCUGCAAUAAGCCCACGUCAGAAGGAGGUUCCUUGUAAAGGAAAAAGUGAAGAGGUAGUAAACAUUCUCUCUAAGAAUGAUUGUGUUACUAUGGAGAAAGAAGAGAAAAACACAAGACACAAGAAGGCUGAACUAGUUUUGGGUAAAACACUCUCGGUUCUGAUAGUUCAAAAGUUUCACAUGCUUUGGCUUUGAGGGUGAGGAAGGGGAUGUCUUCUUCAUGACUGGAUCCAUAGAACUGAUCUUCAAAAUCCUACUCCUGGGAUCCUUCUGCCCAUGUUUGAAUCAUUGAAACAUAUGGAUCUGAAGUCUCAAGACAGGGAGCUAUAGUGUAUUACAGGACAGAAAGUCACCUAUAUUGCACCUUUGGCAACAGAAGCUGGUAAAGCACUGCAUUUGCCACACAAAUGUAUUUCACAGUGUUUUCCCGUUCUGUAAUCGAACUGCCGAGAAAAUAACAGCGAAAGCAGUAAGAAAUCACAAGAAACAGUGUCUUCAGACAAGAUGUGAAAGGAGAUGGUAUACUGAUGAAGAAAAAAUACAGAAAGGUUGUCUUACAUCCCAGGAGCUGCAGCAGUAACACUCAUUUCUGGAUGUCAGCUGGGAUGAUGAACAACAAAAUCAGGUUACUUCUAACAACUGAGAAAUGUUUGUAGUUUAUUUUUAGCUCACAUGUUGCAUGCACAUUGCCCCUUUCUCCAGUGCAAUGCGCAUAUGAAGUUCCCUGAGGUGUCUGAACUAGAUUCACUCUUUGGGACUACGUAACUGGUUUACCUGAACUGCCACCAGAUCCAGAGCUACACCGGAGCCCAAAUGCCCCAAGGUAUCUCUCAGGUAAGGGUGGAAUUCUACCUGUCUUCACAAGGCCUGUGUACAGCCUACAACACCAUCCUGUCCCUUAAUUGACCCAUGCUGCGUCUAUGUAACACAGGAAUGGAUUUUUUAAAAUCCCACUUUCUGAUUUCCACUGUAAGCAAAUGCCUGCAAGCAGAGGACAUUCAAGAAAACUUUAAGAAAAAAAAAAAAUGAUCUUUUGGGUAAGUACAAUAGAUUGAAAAUACAUGCCUAGAAUGGAAAUGCUUCUUUUGCCUCCACAGAAUAAAUAAUAAAUGCUUUCCAGGUAACGACUGCAGCUCUGUUGAUAACAUAUAUAUUAAUAAAUUAAAAAUGUCUGUAGAUUGACAAGUGUUUUGUGGGCUUGUACUGAAAAGCCAACAACUAAUUAUGAAAGCCUGACUUGACUAAUCAAUUAUUCAGAUGAACAUUAGGUGCCUAUUAUAUGUGUAAACAUGGGAAUUAUAUUUCCCCUAAGUAACUUUCUAAAAUAAUGAACCCAAAAUAUGCAAAUUUGAAAUAGAAGGAAUUGGCACUGUUAUGCCCUUAUUGCACAUGCAGACCUCCCACUGAAUUAUUCAGGGAACACUGAACCGGGAGCCUCGGUCUUCUGACUGCGCAGCACAGCAGUAGCAGCACAUGCCACGUUGUAUUUGUUAUGCAUGUAAUAUUGAUUUAGCUCGUUCUUGCUGGUCAUGUUUCAAAUUCAUUUCAUGUUUAGGAGGUAGGGGAAAGGAGAAGUAUCCCUGGAUUGCUAUUUGCAAUAUAUUUUUACGCCUGUUGAACACAAGAUUAUCUGAUAAAUUAAUAAUACCAUGGCCUCUGUGUGCUGGAAGAAUAAGCCUUUGAAAAGGAGCACAAGUGAGGUAAUAAACUCUACUUAGAAAAGGUUUAUAUUUGCUUGAUUCCCCAUCUCCUGCCUGUAAAGGUUGGGAGAGUGCUAGUAUUACAGAACAGAUUCACUAGUGUUUCAUUUAAUUUGUGAGGCACUGAACACAAUAAGGUAAUGCAUAAUUGUUCUUUGCAUGUAGAAAAGACCACACUCUUAAACAGAAUACAGCAACAGGGAAACCAGAAAUAGAUGUGACCAGACACCUGCUGACAAACAGUGACAAAUCCCACUGACACUGCAGUGACCCCCAGUUAGUCAAGAUUUAAUUAAGGGGUAUAAUUAAGUCAGUGGAACAGAACACUAAUGAGUGUUCUGUUCCACUGACUUAAUUUUUUUUAAUACGGGUAAUUACACAUAAGAAUACAAAGUAAGCUAGGCCCCUCAAUGUAUCGUUGAAGUGAACAGUAUAGAAUGGCAAUCACAGCUUUAAGCACUCUUUUUGUUUAUUUUUUCCCCUUUGCCAGAAUAAUGCAAGUUGAAACAACACAGCUCUAGUCAAGCAUCUGUAUACAUACUAGCAAAUGCUACUAGCCCAAUCUGGCCUGUGGAGUGUAUCAGUAACAUGACCUUGGUGGCCCAGUGCACACCAGUAAAGUGAGGUGUGUGUGGCUUUGCUGGGUUCUGCCCGUCGCUGUGUUUGCACGUUUCUACCGCGCAGAGGGCAUUCUGCCUCACUUUUUAGCAAGUGACAUUCUGUUCCUAUUCAAGUAACAUCCUCUAGAUUUCAUUUAUCAAGUGUGGUUAUUACAGAAAGCAACUGAUUACAGGCAAGACACGCUACAGAUCAUCCCUGUGAUUGUCUGCCUGUUGGGUGCAAUACACCUUUAUAGUCAAACAGCAGAGUUUCUUACGGCAGUGCUAUUUUAUGCCUGAUCUAGUUCUCUGGAAUUUAUCUCUAGGCAGUUGAGUGAAAUAGCUGAAAUAUCUUUGACUAUGUGAUAUUUGCUUAUAUUUCAAUCACAAGAAUAUUGUAAAGUAGAUUUACUCGACCAAAGUGUUAAACUGGGGUGGAAGACAUCACCAUGAAUAAUGACGAUGUUGGUAGGGAAAAAAAAAAACACAACUUUCCUACGGUCUCUAAGAUUUAAAGGAAUGCCUGUGUAGUUCGGGGCCAGCCCUCUGCCGGGAUUACUCUAUCUGCUCCCAGCUGGUAGCCUGCAGUUCAUGACAGCCUUUUAUCCAUUAUCAAAGCAACAAGUGGAAAAGCAGAUCCUCCUGACUGCUAACACUCUGUUCAGUUCUCUCAGUAGAAUUUCUGCUUCUAAAUCUUUCCUUUUAACAAGUCCUCAGAUUUCCUUCCUACUGCUGCAGUAGACACUAAAUAUGUCUCUCAAGUCUUUAGCUCACUUGUCUAACUUAAACUCUGCAGGACACUAAGGGAAGAGAGAAUAAUUGCAUUACAACAGGACAUUUUCUACAGGGACUGACUGAAAUGCAGCAUGCUCCUGAUCCUGCUCACACCGAGGUGCUGUGGGUUUAGCAGUUGGGUUCAAUGACAGCAAAACCUAAUUACUCAAGUAACAUACUAGUGAAACAACACUUCAAUUACAAUUUCAGACUGAGACAUGAGGUAGGCUUAAAUUUAAUCUACUUACACAAUUUAUUUAUAUAAGUGCAAAUUCUACAAUGAGAAAAGCAAAGCACACUAUAUUGAAUCUUGUUAUACUGUGCUUUCUUUGCCUUUUUAGUGGUAUGCCUAUAGGAAAAAUAAAAAAUGUAAAACCAGGAGAUAUUUAAAUAUAAUUCAUGUUGAAUUCUUUCAAGCAAAAUCUAUCCACUGAAACUGAACAGUUGUUUGUUAUUAAAACAAAUCUAAAUGAAUAUGUAGUAAAAAUACACCCUGCUUUCCUUAAAUCAUGCUGUCAUCAAGUAAUGGGUCUUAGAAACGCAAUCCUAUAACAGUUAUUACAAGUAUAUUUAUAAAAUCAAAGGAACAACUUGGUUAACAAGCUGUUAAGUAGGGUACAUUAAACCAUAAAGUACAUUAAAUGUUUCUAAUUCUUUCUUAAACUCUGUUUUUUAACCAGAUUUUCUGUGACACCUUGCGGUUGUGCUGGGACUGAGGAUGCUGUGGGAAUGCCAGCUGGGUGGUGCAUGCAGGACUCGCUCCCUGUCUGAACCAGGCCUUUGCCACCAGUCUGCUCCACUCACACUUGGCUGCCUGCUCGAUCCGUGCAUGGCACAUCGUGCUGGUGCCGCAUCCCUGCCAGCUGCGCCCUGCGCUGAGCACAGCCCUACUGCAGCCAGCAGCAUCAGACCUCUGCACCUAACCCGGCUCGUCUCAGCCCGUCAGAGAUUUUCAGUGUGUGAGAAGGCAUUAUCCGGCCCUGGGUCCUCAGCAGCUUGGCUACGAAGCAGCCAGUAGCAUUUAAUUUUUUGGAGGUGCCUGAUGUAACUGCUGUGGUGAGGACCCUGAUAAAAGGGCAUGGGAUCACUACUCUUAUUCUUUCCUAUGAGCUCAAGCAUGUUAAAACCCUUGUGAAAACAAGAUAUUAUAAGAGAGGUGGUAAAAAUCACAUACAUGAUUUUCCUGCUUUUAUCUUUACAUGGGCAUGUGUCAGCGUAAAAGAACAGAUUAGACAGGCCGGCUUCCGUCUGGGCUGUAGACACACGUAUGCAUAAUUGAUUCCUGACAUCUUCUUCUCCCCCACGCUCUCCCCGCGAGGCCACCCCUGUCCAGCUAUGUAUGAAUGAACAGAAGUGUCUUUCAUCCCCCACUUGCCUCGUGGUUCAAAAGGAACUACGAAAAUAGCAGCAACAAAAAUCCAGCAGCCUGCCAAAAGGCCUGCACACGUCCCAUUCUUAAAGGCAUGUGAAAGGUUGGAGAGCUCAGCAAAAUUUUUAUGUACGGGAGCAGGCCCAAGGAAAACUCACACGCCAUAACCAAUUGUGGACAGAGGAUCAUCUAUCAGCAGACAAAUGCAGGAACUCCAGAAUGUCUCUCCUCAAAUGAAAUAAUAUAUCUUUGAAAGCCAAUGCCCGUUUUAGGCCUGAGGCCCAUAUAUCAAGCCUGAGAGGCUUGUGGAUACGCUCCAGGGCCAUUAACCUUCCACCUGUUUCCCCUUGUCCUUCAGGAUGAGACCCUGCCCUUGAUUUUACUCCCUUCCCCUGUUCAUCUUCCGACAGAGUGUAAAUGUAAAGCAGAGGGCCUGUGAAAUAAUUCAAAGGCAAUGGACCAGGGACAUGGUUACAAAUCUCUGCCACUGGCACUGUGACUUAUGCAGGCAGUUUGUCACACAUGAGCCAGGUGACCUCUGUGACAUAACAGAGAAAAAUAUCGCCCGAGAUCAAAAGAUGAGAUUCAGAGCGCUCUAACUAACUCUGGUGCAGGCAGCGGCGGCCCAGGCACGCCUGCCUUCCCAGCGCUGCCUGCUCUGCCUGCCGGAGGGUGGGCUGCGCUCCUGCUAAUUGAAGCCAUCGCGUUUGCUCUCCUCUCUACACAAAUCCUUCCUACAACACAAACGUCAAAAUCUGUUUCCUCAAGAAGCUGCUCUUUUCCAAAACGAUAGCUAGAUGUAAAUUGACAGCAGACAGCAAAAUUCAUUCAGCAGAUCAAAACGAACACGUAGCAAUCAGUAGCAUCAAAAAUGGUGAGUUACCUUUGCAAAAGGGUCUGUUUUAAGCUAGUACAUUUUUAAAUGCUAAGUAGUAAUAAAACCUCGUAUGAGCACAUUCUCUCUCUGGUAUUGCAAUACGAAGCCUUCGAAGUCUAAAACAUUUACUGGGAUUCAACUGUCAUGCCAGUUACAAUGUAAGUAGUUAGUAUUAAAAAUGAUGUAAUGCACCUAGAUAACACGACAUCCGUAUUGAUUCAUAUUUUACCAAGAGACAUACUACGGAACCAGAGUAGCAGUCAUUUGAAAUAAAGCCUAAUCAGAUUGAUUUUUUUUUAAAAAAAAUCUUGAAGCCAUUUUUCAAGCUGUGUACUGUAUAAGAAGUUUCCCAGCUGUUUUCUGCAUUCAGGACUACUCUGCUGGGUGCAGACAAAAGAAGACGACCUAAUGCAGUAUUUCUCUUUCACUCCUUAAAACCUAAUGGUAUGUCUGGUAUGGACAUUUAAUUUUGUCUAUUUCAUAAAUUAAAAGAAAACCACAGAACUGUCACAGCGUCCCAGGCAUGAUGAUGAAAUGAGAAAUACAACUGUAGCUAGAUCAGCCUAAAUCCCGUCUUAAUCCUAAAUCACUGUCACUUGCCAACACCUAGUUGAUGAAAAACUCAGUUUAAUCCAUGAAUAUAUAUAUAAAUACACAUAUGCAAGCACACACAAACAUCCAGCACAGCACUUACACGUGCUACGCACUACCUGAUCAGCUAAUUUCAUUCUGUCUUAUCACAGGCUGACUUUGAAAAUUUUUCAUAGAAUUCAAGCAAAAUCAUCUGGAGGGAUAGGGUUCCACUAUUAAAGUAUUUCACAAUUCACUAAAUCUAAAAGCAUGAAAAAGUUUAACUAUGGCUGGGACUUGAGGCUAAAUCAUUAGAGUAGUUAAAAAGUAAAGUACUGCUGAAAAUGUCAUUGACAUAAGCCUGAUACAGAGCAUUAAACUACUCUGUUGCAGAACACUGCAACAGUAAACAUAGUAAAUGUAAAAUUAUUAUAAAAAGAUUACUGUGAAGUGUUACCACUUUUUUUUUUUUUUUUUUUUUUUUUUUUUGUAAAAAUAAGGCAGUUUGAAUUUACAGUGCUAAAAUCGUUUGAGUCCUGUGAUUACGCACAACUUUUCAUUUUUUUGUAUCUCUAAAGGAAGAUGAUCUGCCAGUGAUACAAGAGUCAGCAACUCUAUGCAAGUUCUGCCACUCCUUUCAGUGAACUCCAAUUCAGAUCCCAGAUGUCUUCAUUUUUGAAAAUACCCGGAGCGGUACUUUUUGAUGUAAAAUAUAGGUGAUGUAUCCAAGGGUUCUGGCAGUCAGAUCUUUAGCUCUCAUUGAGACUCCUACUGAAUAUAUUCAUUUGUAUUUAGGCCUGAUUUCACUUAUGAAUUUUCACUUAAACAUCAUUUUUUAAAAAUAUAAUAUAUAUUUGAUGUAUCCCUGGAAAAUUAAUAUUUAAUUUAAAGAGAACCUAGCCUAAUCCAUUGCCUUUAACAGUGAGUAUGAUCUAGUGCAUCUACUUUUGUAAUAUUCAUGAGAUUUGGAAAUCAAGACUAGGUGUUAUAUUUUACUCUGAGAGGCUUUUUCUCAUUUGAGUGAUCAGUUCUGAAUGCCCAAAUGGCCUACUAGAAUUUCCAGGGCAUAAAGAAACUAAAAUAUGUUAUCAUAUUUUGAAAAAUAUUAUUAUAUUAAUGUAAUAAAUUAUAACCUUUAUAAAUAAACAUUCUCAGAUACAC
Long non-coding RNA from Oxyura jamaicensis (ruddy duck), 12970 nucleotides. RefSeq lists it as uncharacterized. The record is from RefSeq and is a predicted model, not a curated record. The transcript has 9 exons. Lineage: Eukaryota; Metazoa; Chordata; Aves; Anseriformes; Anatidae.